CCCUUAGAUGUUCUGGGCUGCACGCGCGCUACACUGAAGCUAUCAACACGUUUUCCCUCCCUGAGAAGGGCGGGUAACCUUUUGAAUCAGCUUCGUGGUAGGGAUCGGGGCUUGCAAUUGUUCCCCGUGAACCAGGAAUUCCUAGUAGACGCGAGUCAUAAGCUCGCAUCGAUUAAGUCCCUGCCCUUUGUACACACCGCCCGUCGCUACUACCGAUAGAACGUUUUAGUGAGGCAUUUGGACCGACGCAUCUCAGUUUAACCGCUGGUUUGUGUUGGAAAGACUUCCAAACUUGAGCGUUUAGAGGAAGUAAAAGUCGUAACA
Molecule: ribosomal RNA, 324 nt
Filed under: uncultured eukaryote
Lineage: Eukaryota
Description: partial 18S ribosomal RNA
Rfam family: Eukaryotic small subunit ribosomal RNA
Source: RNAcentral